GCAGUCUGCAACUCGACUGCAUGAAGCUGGAAUCGCUAGUAAUCGCGAAUCAGCAUGUCGCGGUGAAUACGUUCCCGGGCCUUGUACACACCGCCCGUCACACCAUGGGAGUUGGAAGCACCCGAAGUCGGUGACCUGACCGUAAGGAGGGAGCCGCCGAAGGUGAAGCCAGCGACUGGGGUGAAGUCGUAACAAGGUAAC
Molecule: ribosomal RNA, 201 nt
Filed under: uncultured bacterium
Lineage: Bacteria
Description: partial 16S ribosomal RNA
Rfam family: Bacterial small subunit ribosomal RNA
Source: RNAcentral